UCAGCCGGCCGGACGGCCGCUCCCGCAAGCGCGGAAACGCCGCGGGGGAGGAAAGUCCGGGCUCCACGGAAACACGGUGCCGGGUAACACCCGGCGGGGGCGACCCCAGGGAAAGUGCCACAGAAAGCAAACCGCCCCGGGCGACAAGCCAAGGGGUAAGGGUGAAAGGGUGGGGUAAGAGCCCACCGCGCGACCGGUAACGGAAGCGGCACGGUAAACCCCACCGGGAGCAAGACCGAAUAGGGGCGGCAUGGGAUCCUCGCGAUCCCGGUCGGUUUCCAGGCCAGCCGCCCGGGUUGGUUGCGUGAGGCGCCCGGCAACGGGCGUCCCAGAUGAAUGGUCGUCACGUACGGCGGGUUUCCCGCCGUGCCAUACAAAACCCGGCUUACAGGCCGGCUGACAUU
Molecule: RNase P RNA, 404 nt
Filed under: Stappia taiwanensis
Lineage: Bacteria; Pseudomonadati; Pseudomonadota; Alphaproteobacteria; Hyphomicrobiales; Stappiaceae
Description: Stappia sp. CC-SPIO-10 Bacterial RNase P class A
Rfam family: Bacterial RNase P class A
About the family: Ribonuclease P (RNase P) is a ubiquitous endoribonuclease, found in archaea, bacteria and eukarya as well as chloroplasts and mitochondria.
Source: Rfam by way of RNAcentral